Molecule: ribosomal RNA, 305 nt
Filed under: uncultured bacterium
Lineage: Bacteria
Description: bacterial SSU rRNA
Rfam family: Bacterial small subunit ribosomal RNA
Source: RNAcentral
CGCCUACGGGGGGCAGCAGUGGGGAAUAUUGGGCAAUGGGCGCAAGCCUGACCCAGCAAUGCCGCGUGAAGGAAGAAGGCCCUCGGGUUGUAGACUUCUUUUAUCAGGGACGAAGGAUGUGACGGUACCUGAUGAAUAAGCUCCGGCUAACUACGUGCCAGCAGCCGCGGUAAUACGUAGGGAGCAAGCGUUAUCCGGAUUUACUGGGUGUAAAGGGCGCGUAGGCGGGAUGGCAAGUCAGAUGUGAAAUCCUAUGGCUUAACCAUAGAACUGCAUUUGAAACUGUUAUUCUAGAGUAUGGGAGG